AGGACGAACGCUGGCGGCGUGCUUAACACAUGCAAGUCGAGCGGAAAGGCCCUUCGGGGUACUCGAGCGGCGAACGGGUGAGUAACACGUGAGCAACCUGCCCUUAGCUUCGGGAUAGCUCCGGGAAACCGGAAUUAAUACCGAAUAUGAUUUUUGCUGACAUCAGCAGAAGUGGAAAGUUUUUCGGCUAGGGAUGGACUCGCGGCCUAUCAGCUAGUUGGUGAGGUAACGGCCCACCAAGGCGACGACGGGUAGCCGGCCUGAGAGGGCGACCGGCCACACUGGGACUGAGACACGGCCCAGACUCCUACGGGAGGCAGCAGUGGGGAAUAUUGCGCAAUGGGCGAAAGCCUGACGCAGCGACGCCGCGUGGGGGAUGAAUGCCUUCGGGUUGUAAACCCCUUUCAGCAGGACGAAGCGAAAGUGACGGUACCUGCAGAAGAAGCGCCGGCUAACGUACGCGCCAGCAGCCGC
RNAcentral lists this ribosomal RNA (474 nucleotides) under uncultured bacterium. RNAcentral's name for it is "SSU rRNA". It matches the Rfam family "Bacterial small subunit ribosomal RNA", at positions 26 to 518 of the family's 1533-position model. The record is from RNAcentral.